RNAcentral lists this unclassified non-coding RNA (300 nucleotides) under soil metagenome. Its description in RNAcentral is "partial internal transcribed spacer 1". The record is from RNAcentral.
UAAAAGGAUCAGCAUGUCGGUUGACAGCAGCAUAGUUCUGCAGUUCCGACUUCAAGUGCUCAAUCUUUCUCCCAGCCAAUGAAUUGCUAAAGAUUCGUUGAAGCUUUUCAACGUUGAUUUACAGUUUGUUGUCCUGUGGAUCCAGAAAGAAACAUCUUGUGAACCGUUCCGUCUCUGGCGAGAGGGUAGUGAAGAACUACUUGUCAGCAUUGCUUUUGCGGUGCCGUGGACAGCUCGCCAACCCCUUCUAAACAUAUAUUUAUUUUUUAUGCCUGACAUUUAUUGUAUAAAUAUACAAAA